CGGCAGGCCUAACACAUGCAAGUCGAGGGGUAACAGAGAGAAGCUUGCUUUUCUGCUGACGACCGGCGCACGGGUGAGUAACGCGUAUACAAUCUGCCUUAUACAGAGGGAUAGCCUUUAGAAAUGAAGAUUAAUACCUUAUAGUCUAUUUUUAUAGCAUUAUAUAAAUAGUAAAGCUUCGGUGGUAUAAGAUGAGUAUGCGUCCUAUUAGUUAGUUGGUAAGGUAACGGCUUACCAAGACAACGAUAGGUAGGGGCCCUGAGAGGGGGAUCCCCCACACUGGUACUGAGACACGGACCAGACUCCUACGGGAGGCAGCAGUGAGGAAUAUUGGACAAUGGAGGCAACUCUGAUCCAGCCAUGCCGCGUGCAGGAAGACGGCCCUAUGGGUUGUAAACUGCUUUUAUAUAGGAAGAAACCUUUUCACGUGUGAGAAGCUGACGGUACUAUAAGAAUAAGGACCGGCUAACUCCG
This 474-nucleotide ribosomal RNA is filed under the name uncultured bacterium. RNAcentral describes it as "bacterial SSU rRNA". It matches the Rfam family "Bacterial small subunit ribosomal RNA", at positions 40 to 505 of the family's 1533-position model. The record is from RNAcentral.